Molecule: RNA transcript, 2251 nt
Organism: Mus musculus (house mouse)
Lineage: Eukaryota; Metazoa; Chordata; Mammalia; Rodentia; Muridae
Gene: Crxos
Gene name: cone-rod homeobox, opposite strand
Exons: 5
Source: RefSeq, marked validated
GGAGCUCCUAUGGUGUCACUGGGAAGCAUGGAGGAGGAGCUGGUGGCUGCUGAGAGCAGAUGUCCUUGCUAUAAUUCCUGCCUUGCCCCACCCAAGGACAGACCUCCACAGAUAGCCCCAGGACCUCAGAGAUUUCUGGAAAGACAUUCUUUUGGCUUUGUUGCUUAGGAUUCCCUGCACAGCAGGAGUUGAGGACCUGUUUACUGGUGGGAGUCUGAUAUUGAAAGUUACCACUUCAUUGUGUAAAGCCUCCUGUACCCUGGGUCCCCUUGACCAGAAGUUCAGUUGGGAGCAGCUUUCAGAGCUGGAAGCAUACUUCAAGGUGGAACCAUACCCAGACCUCCAGGAUCGAAAGAUCAUGGCCACCAGACUGAAACUGAAAGAGGAACAAGUUGAGGCUUGGUUCAUCCAGAGAUCCUUGGAGGAGGAGAUGCGGCCCCCCUUGGCCAGGCUGCAGCAGUCUGCCCUGGAUGGUACCUCUUCUCCUUCCCACAAAGCCCUGUGCUGCAGGCCACCAAGCUGGAAGUACAGGCUCAUUCCCAUCAAUCCCCCUGAGUCCUCGACCAGCUGUAAGCACAGUUGCUGAUCCUCCUUCCCCAUGGGCCACUCCAACAUGUACCACAAAAACUGUUUCCCCAAUUCCCCACCCCCUAUCACAGGCCUGGCUGCACCAAACUCAUCAAAUGGUGGAUGCCUCCCAGAACCCUCAGGGUCAAUGUUUGAAUACCUGGGUGCCAGGACAGAUGACAUUGGACAGAAAUGGUGCAGAAAUGGUGUUGAGUCUCCACCUAGGGCCUCCACUUGAAUGUCCAGGGCCAAACCCCACUGCUGUGGUUCCACUUCUUUUAACAGCCUCCCCUCAAAAGUGGCCUCUCCUUCAGGAUAGCUAUCAACUCAAUGUGCAGCACAGUAUCACACUGACUUCUUGCCUCCUUUCCCAAGGCAUGGUUACAGGCUGACAUAUACUGCCAGAACAACCACUUCCCAAGAGAUUGACUGGCUAACAAGGCUGGAUUUUUAUUCCCUCUGACCUUGAUCACUCAUCUUGUACCAAUGAGUAACUUAUUGGUUUGUGUGUGAUUGGAUUGUAUUUUUUUUUUGGUCUAUUGGUGUUUCUGAGGCACCUGCUUGGGGAUUUAGAUCUUGGAGUGGCUCAUUGAUAACAUGAAAUUGUUGACAAAUUGGUUUUUUAAAAAAGCUUGUGUUGUUUUCACAAAAAAAUACUUUGUGUGGAAGCUGGCUGUUGUAUAGAAGUCAGGACAAAGGACAGCAUAGGAUUAGGGUCUCCUGGUGCUGGAGUGGAGCUUAGCUCUUCAGGCUUCCUGCCAAAGGUCUUUCAUCACAGUCGCCUCAAUAGCUAGGUUUCUUAUUUGUGCGUGAUGCUCUUUGAGGUAAAAGUUUCACUGUGAUACUUCUAGCUGGCCUGGACUUUGCACCAUUAACCUUGAAUCUGAAUUAACUCCAGAUGUGCCUAGCUCUGCCUCAAAGUGCUGGUAUAUAAGGCUCAUACCACCACUGUGCUAUCCCUGAUCCCAAAGUCUUUAAGCUUAGACUUGAAGUUGAGGAAACUCCCUCCCGAGAGUUUGAUUAACACCUGGACAUAAUGGAAAAUCAGGAAUUUAUUGUAUAUGUAUGGACUACACUAGUGAGACCGGUUACAGCAGGACUAGAAGCCUCUGCAUGGACCAUCCCUGCCUAUGGAGAUCAGGCUGGCCUUGAACUCACAGAACUCUGCCUGCCUUUGCCUCUUGAGUAAUGGAAGUGAAGGUCUGCUCCGACAUGCGCAGGCUGCAGAUGACAUUCCUUGGGUUUGGUGGAAGUUACUGUUGUGAUCAUACUUUAGAAAAGGUGAAGGAUUUAUAUUGUUAUAGGUAUGGCUACACUGCGGCCCUGGACAGCCCAGGAUGACUUUGCUUUAACCACACACGGUCUCCAAAUGCUAACAAAGCAACCUCAUUGUUUGGGUUUUGUUAUUAAAACAGGGUCUCUAAGUAACACUGGCUGCUCUAGAAUGCUCUAUGCAGACCAGGUUGGCCCUCAAAUCUCAGAGAUCCACCUGUCUUCUUCCCACCACACCCCCAGUGCUCUCAUCAAAGGCAUGGGCCACCUGACUUGGUUCCCUGUAGAAUCCUCCAAACAGACAAGGGUGACAUGGAAAUUUAUAUUCCUGAUAACUUCAGUUCCUGAGACAGGGAUUGAUGUUGUCAAUUCAGUCAGGUGAUGUUUCAAUAAAUUAUUCAAUGUCUAUAAA